ACGAACGCUGGCGGCGUGCCUAAUACAUGCAAGUAGAACGCUGAAGGAGGAGCUUGCUCUUCUGGAUGAGUUGCGAACGGGUGAGUAACGCGUAGGUAACCUGCCUGGUAGCGGGGGAUAACUAUUGGAAACGAUAGCUAAUACCGCAUAACAGUAGAUGUUGCAUGACAUUUACUUAAAAGGUGCAAUUGCAUCACUACCAGAUGGACCUGCGUUGUAUUAGCUAGUUGGUGGGGUAACGGCUCACCAAGGCGACGAUACAUAGCCGACCUGAGAGGGUGAUCGGCCACACUGGGACGGAGACACGGCCCAGACUCCUACGGGAGGCAGCAGUAGGGAAUCUUCGGCAAUGGACGGAAGUCUGACCGAGCAACGCCGCGUGAGUGAAGAAGGGUUUCGGAUCGUAAAGCUCUGUUGUAAGAGAAGAACGAGUGUGAGAGUGGAAAGUUCACACUGUGACGGUAUCUUACCAGAAAGGGACGGCUAACUACGUG
RNAcentral lists this ribosomal RNA (494 nucleotides) under uncultured bacterium. RNAcentral's name for it is "partial 16S ribosomal RNA". It matches the Rfam family "Bacterial small subunit ribosomal RNA", at positions 29 to 507 of the family's 1533-position model. The record is from RNAcentral.